GUCCUGGCCGUAAACGUUGGGCACUAGGUGUUGGAGGCAUCGACCCCUCCAGUGCCGCAGCUAACGCAUUAAGUGCCCCGCCUGGGGAGUACGGCCGCAAGGUUGAAACUCAAAGGAAUUGACGGGGCCCGCACAAGCGGUGGAGCAUGUGGUUCAAUUCGACGCAACGCGAAGAACCUUACCCAGACUUGACAUGCACGGGACCGGUGUAGAAAUACACCUUCCCUUCGGGGCCCGUGCACAGAUGCUGCAUGGCUGUCGU
This 262-nucleotide ribosomal RNA is filed under the name uncultured bacterium. RNAcentral describes it as "partial 16S ribosomal RNA". It matches the Rfam family "Bacterial small subunit ribosomal RNA", at positions 793 to 1055 of the family's 1533-position model. The record is from RNAcentral.